This 915-nucleotide ribosomal RNA is filed under the name uncultured archaeon. Its description in RNAcentral is "bacterial SSU rRNA". It matches the Rfam family "Archaeal small subunit ribosomal RNA", at positions 1 to 922 of the family's 1478-position model. The record is from RNAcentral.
UUCCGGUUGAUCCUGCCGGAGGUCACUGCUAUUGGGAUUCGACUAAGCCAUGCGAGUCGAGAGGGUUCGGCCCUCGGCUGACUGCUCAGUAACACGUGGAUAAUUUGCCCUAAGGUGGAGGAUAACCUCGGGAAACUGAGAAUAAUACUCCAUAGGUCUAAGAUACUGGAAUGUUCUUAGGCUGAAAACUCCGGUGCCUUAGGAUAAGUCUGCGGACUAUCAGGUUGUAGUCAGGGUAAAGACCUGACUAGCCUAUGACGGAUAUGGGUUGUGGGAGCAAUAACCCAGAGAUGAUAUCUGAGACACGAUAUCGGGCCCUACGGGGCGCAGCAGGCGCGAAACCUUCACAAUGUGCGAAAGCGCGAUGAGGGGAUCCCAAGUGCUUGCUCGUAAGAGUAAGCUGUUUUUAUGUCUAAAACGCAUAGAGAGUAAGGGCUGGGUAAGACGGGUGCCAGCCGCCGCGGUAAUACCUGCAGCUCAAGUGGUGACCGCUAUUAUUGGGCCUAAAACAUUCGUAGCCGGUUUGGUAAAUGCCUGGGUAAAUCGUGUAGCUUAACUAUACGAAUUCCGGGUAGACUGCCAAACUUGAGACCGGGAGAAGCUAGAGGUACUCCUUGGGUAGAGGUGAAAUUCUGUAAUCCUAGGGGGACCACCAGUGGCGAAGGCGUCUAGCUAGAACGGGUUUGACGGUGAGGAAUGAAGCCCUGGGGCGCAAACCGGAUUAGAUACCCGGGUAGUCCAGGGUGUAAACGCUGCUUGCUUGAUGUUAGUUGGGCUCCGAGCCCAAUUAGUGUCGGAGAGAAGUUGUUAAGCAAGCUGCCUGGGAAGUACGAUCGCAAGAUUGAAACUUAAAGGAAUUGGCGGGGGAGCACAGCAACGGGUGGAGCGUGCGGUUUAAUUGGAAUCAACGCCGGU